GUGUGAUUAACUGGAAAGAUCUGAGUCCCAACUCCCUCUUACGCCCCCUGCUGGAGGCCCCACUGCUCUGCUACACCGCAGCUCAGGAAACAGUUUUCUGAGAGGAAAAGAGCAGCAAGUAGAGAAGCAUACGGGAAACAGUUGUUUUGGGGAACCAUUGAGAUCGAACAACUAGAAGAGCUAGGGAUCAACAACAGCCAAUCAAGACCACAGUUGAUGACAGGUAUUCAGGAGGAACCUUGCUGAUAUAAAUCUGGAGAGGAAAUUAAGUCCCAGAAGGUUUUCUUCCAGGUAUUUUACAAGAUUCUUUCUUGAGUCUUCUACAGAUGAAGUAGACACUUCUUGAAGAAAAUUCAAAAGAAUACUGGAUAUGAGAAUAGAUAUUUCCCAGGGGAGUAGUCUUCAGUAAACCAGCAAACUCCUUUCUUAAACAGUCAGAUAUAUGACUGGAGUACGGGUCUCCACAGAUUGUACAUGAAAAUCAGAUGGACAUGGGGAAAAUGAUCCAAUUUUGCCAAUUGUAAGUUUGAUCCAUGUGGUACACAGCUGUUCUUUAUAUGAACAAAUUCUUGAGAAGCUAAUUUGCUGGAAGCAAAGUAUGUUUCUUGAAAGCUAUGGAAAAUAUAUCACAGUGCUUUAGCAGUUUUUAUUUGCCCGUUACCAUUGAUAAUGUACAGCAUUUCAUGACAUAAGAUAUUGGUUUGUCUCUUUUAAGAUGGUAUUUGAAAGCUCAGAGAAGUGGUAAUAUGCAACAUGUUUUGGAGGAUUGCCUUUGCUGAACAGUGCAGCAAAUGGGAAUGUAACGACUAACAACCACAGAAAACUAGCACAGAAUGCCUAAGAGAUGGGUGCUAAUUCCUAAUAUAUGGACGAGACUGUUCUAGAGGAGUUCCUUCUUGUUUUAGAUUGAUAUUUUCAAGAGCACCCAGCAUUGGCCUAAUUCUGCUUCCAUUGCAGUUUUUGGUUAUAAACUUUCAUUGACUUAAGCAAAGUUAGGUGAUUGCUGAGUGCUUUUGAAAAUCCCAGCCUUAAUAAUUUACUAUACAAGUAUGAGAUUGGAACAUUACUGUUUAAGUGACUCUGCCCAUAGUUUGUUUCUACCUGUCCAAUCCCAAAAUUACUUUUCAGUACAAUUCAGUAAAGCACUUAAACAUAUGAAUUGGAGCCCACGUGGGCCAGGUCCCCAGGCUGGUGUAGAUUGGUAUCACUCCAUUGAAGUCUACAGAGCAAUGCUGAUUUACAUCAGUUGAGGAUUUGACUCCUUCUUAAUCUUAUUCUGCAUUCUUUCUCUCUGCCUUUGAUGAUAUUAGUGUGUGGUCCAGUCUCUCUCCAGAACCCAAGAGCAGUUUCUGCCUUCAGCUCCAUCAGGAUACUGAGUUGACAUGGGGCUUUCAUGUCAGAGGUGUAUAAUGCACUCUUGGAACAGCUGUAAUGGGAAAGCCCCAGACUGUGUGAAAAAGGAACACGCCAACCUCACUAGGAAAACCAACAAUCUGCUAGCCUCCACAAUCAGACACCAAAUCUAUGAGGAGGCAAGAGGGAAAAAGAUGAAGAGUGAGGCAAGAGGAUUGCUGCAAGGCCAUGGAAGGGGUUGCUUUUCUAUCCUAGUGUGGGCUUGAUAAAGGUUUGAGGAAAUGGCAGAGGUCCUACUCUUUUCCAAACCAGUUCAGCUAUCACUAGUGAGCAUGUUUUUAAGUUUAUUUCCUUAGCUGGUGUAUUUUUGUUAUGAAGGCCAAAGUGCUAGAUUUAUUACUUAUUUUAGUGUACAUGUUUGCCAAGGGCACGUAGGGCUCAGGAUAGGCACCUUUUUAAUAUUUUGUACAAAUCUAAAUCGAUGAAUGAAUUAGGUACCUAAAUAUCUUGCUCUGUUUUCAUUUUUCAAUCCCUUUUCAGCUCUUGAUGAAAGAUGCUGGGAAAUUAAUUUCAAACCUUACUUCAAAUAGC
Molecule: long non-coding RNA, 1944 nt
Organism: Gopherus evgoodei (Goodes thornscrub tortoise)
Lineage: Eukaryota; Metazoa; Chordata; Testudines; Testudinidae
Exons: 3
Source: RefSeq, a predicted model, not a curated record